RNAcentral lists this transfer RNA (69 nucleotides) under Sceloporus woodi. RNAcentral's name for it is "tRNA-Arg". The record is from RNAcentral. Lineage: Eukaryota; Metazoa; Chordata; Lepidosauria; Squamata; Phrynosomatidae.
UAGCCGUUAGUCUAAGCAAGAUAGUUGAUUUCGACUCAACAGACCUAGGACACACACCUAGACGUCUAC